This 541-nucleotide unclassified non-coding RNA is filed under the name uncultured Pelagibacterales bacterium. RNAcentral describes it as "partial 16S-23S ribosomal RNA intergenic spacer". The stretch from base 406 to 541 matches the Rfam family "Bacterial large subunit ribosomal RNA", at positions 1 to 137 of the family's 2925-position model. Lineage: Bacteria; Pseudomonadati; Pseudomonadota; Alphaproteobacteria; Candidatus Pelagibacterales. The record is from RNAcentral.
CCUCCUUUCUAAGGAUGAUUGAAAGUAAAAUUUCAAUCUAAAUAAUAUACAGGUUAAUGUUAACCGUCCUCAUUUCUCUUCUUAAAAUAGUGUUUCUCUUCUGCAUGGGGGCCGGUAGCUCAGUUGGUUAGAGCACACCCUUGAUAAGGGUGGGGUCGAUAGUUCGAGUCUAUCUCGGCCCACCAAAUUUUAUCUGGGGGAUUAGCUCAGCUGGGAGAGCGCCUGAUUUGCAUUCAGGAGGUCAGCGGUUCGAUCCCGCUAUCCUCCACCAAGAAACACUUAGUUAUUUUUUUUGUGAAUAUUUAAUAAUUUAUAUCAAUAUCUAUAUCCGAACAUUAAAAGUUAUUAUUUAAUGUUCAAAUAAAAAUUUGAUCACAACACAGAAAGAAUUUUUUUCUGUGCAUAAAUCAAGCGUUUAAGGGCGUGUGGCGGAUGCCUUGGCACUGAAAGCCGAUGAAGGACGUGGUAUACUGCGAUAAGUUACGGGGAGCUGUAUGCAAGUUUUGAUCCGUANAUUCCGAAUGGGGAAACCAAGGGCGAA